AUGCUCUAGUUUCUCUUCAGAUCAUAUAAAUCUUUUGCCUUUUACUAAAGAUUCCCAUGGAGAUGAACACUUCAGAGUUUUUAAACUAAUUUUUUGAGGUCUUGCCUUAGCAGGGCU
Molecule: small nuclear RNA, 117 nt
Filed under: Aotus nancymaae (Ma's night monkey)
Lineage: Eukaryota; Metazoa; Chordata; Mammalia; Primates; Aotidae
Description: U5 spliceosomal RNA (ENSANAG00000003501.1)
Rfam family: U5 spliceosomal RNA
About the family: U5 RNA is a component of both types of known spliceosome. The precise function of this molecule is unknown, though it is known that the 5' loop is required for splice site selection and p220 binding, and that both the 3' stem-loop and the Sm site are important for Sm protein binding and cap methylation.
Source: Rfam by way of RNAcentral